GAGUUUGAUCCUGGCUCAGGAUGAACGCUGGCGGCGUGCCUAAUACAUGCAAGUCGAACGCACUGAUUUUAUCAGUGAGUGGCGAACGGGUGAGUAAUACAUAAGUAACCUGCCCUCAUGAGGGGGAUAACUAUUAGAAAUGAUAGCUAAGACCGCAUAGGUGAAGGGGUCGCAUGACCGCUUCAUUAAAUAUCCGUAAGAAUAGCAGGAGGAUGGACUUAUGGCGCAUUAGCUGGUUGGUGAGGUAACGGCUCACCAAGGCGACGAUGCGUAGCCGACCUGAGAGGGUGGACGGCCACACUGGGACUGAGACACGGCCCAGACUCCUACGGGAGGCAGCAGUAGGGAAUUUUCGGCAAUGGGGGAAACCCUGACCGAGCAACGCCGCGUGAGGGAAGAAGUAUUUCGGUAUGUAAACCUCUGUUAUAAAGGAAGAACGGUAUGAAUAGGAAAUGAUUCAUAAGUGACGGUACUUUAUGAGAAAGCCACGGCUAACUAC
This 499-nucleotide ribosomal RNA is filed under the name uncultured bacterium. RNAcentral describes it as "bacterial SSU rRNA". It matches the Rfam family "Bacterial small subunit ribosomal RNA", at positions 9 to 504 of the family's 1533-position model. The record is from RNAcentral.